RNAcentral lists this ribosomal RNA (468 nucleotides) under uncultured bacterium. RNAcentral's name for it is "partial 16S ribosomal RNA". It matches the Rfam family "Bacterial small subunit ribosomal RNA", at positions 28 to 507 of the family's 1533-position model. The record is from RNAcentral.
GACGAACGCUGGCGGCGUGCUUAACACAUGCAAGUCGAACGGAAAGGCCCUGCUUUUGUGGGGUGCUCGAGUGGCGAAAGGGUGAGUAACACGUGAGUAACCUGCCCUUGACUUUGGGAUAACUUCAGGCAACUGGGGCUAAUACCGGAUAGGAGCUCCUGCUGCAUGGUGGGGGUUGGAAAGUUUCGGCGGUUGGGGAUGGACUCGCGGCUUAUCAGCUUGUUGGUGGGGUAGUGGCUUACCAAGGCUUUGACGGGUAGCCGGCCCGAGAGGGUGACCGGCCACAUUGGGACUGAGAUACGGCCCAGACUCCUACGGGAGGCAGCAGUGGGGAAUAUUGCACAAUGGGCGGAAGCCUGAUGCAGCAACGCCGCGUGCGGGAUGACGGCCUUCGGGUUGUAAACCGCUUUCGCCUGUGACGAAGCGUGAGUGACGGUAAUGGGUAAAGAAGCACCGGCUAACUACGUG